GUAGGUGAACCUGCGGAAGGAUCAUUACCGAGUUCAUGCCCUCACGGGUAGAUCUCCCACCCUGUGUCUACCUUACCUUUGUUGCUCUGGCGGGCCGCCUAGCUACUGGCUUCGGCUGGUAAGUGCCCGCCAGAGAACCCCAAACCCAAACCAUUAUCAGUGUCGUCUGAGCAAAAAUUUUAAUUUUUAAAACUUUCAACAACGGAUCUCUUGGCUCUGGCAUCGAUGAAGAACGCAGCAUCUGACUGAC
This 250-nucleotide unclassified non-coding RNA is filed under the name plant metagenome. RNAcentral's name for it is "partial contains small subunit ribosomal RNA, internal transcribed spacer 1, and 5.8S ribosomal RNA". The record is from RNAcentral.